UAGUAUUACAACUCCUUUACAAUUUGUCUAGAAGGUUUUCUGGUCUUUAUCAGAAAGCCUCC
Molecule: small nuclear RNA, 62 nt
Organism: Cercocebus atys (sooty mangabey)
Lineage: Eukaryota; Metazoa; Chordata; Mammalia; Primates; Cercopithecidae
Gene: U7
Rfam family: U7 small nuclear RNA
About the family: Animal histone pre-mRNAs are spliced by a different mechanism than nuclear pre-mRNAs and self-splicing introns. This processing involves the U7 snRNP, which contains only one RNA species: U7.
Source: Ensembl